AUUGAACGCUGGCGGCAGGCCUAACACAUGCAAGUCGAGCGAGCGGCGGACGGGUGAGUAAUGUAUGGGGACUGCCCGAUAGAGGGGGAUAACUACUGGAAACGGUGGCUAAUACCGCAUACUAUCGGAUAACCCAUAUGGGAGUAGCUAGUAGGUGGGGUAAAGGCUCACCGAGGCGACGAUCUCUAGCUGGUCUGAGAGGAUGAUCAGCCACACGGGGACGUAGACACGGCCCAGACGCCGGCGGAGGCAGCAGUGGGGAAUAGUGCGCAAUGGGCGCAAGCCUGCUGCAGCCAUGGCGCGUGUAUGAAGAAGGCCUUAGGGGUGUAAAGUACGUUAAGCGGGGAGGCGUUACCCGCAGAAGAAGCACCGGCUAACUCCGUGCCAGCAGCCGCGGUAAUAC
RNAcentral lists this ribosomal RNA (403 nucleotides) under uncultured bacterium. RNAcentral describes it as "partial 16S ribosomal RNA". It matches the Rfam family "Bacterial small subunit ribosomal RNA", at positions 29 to 526 of the family's 1533-position model. The record is from RNAcentral.